GCUCGAAGAGAACCAGUACACAGGUGGCUGCAUGGCUGUCGUCAGCUCGUGUCGUGAGAUGUUGGGUUAAGUCCCGCAACGAGCGCAACCCUUGUCAUUAGUUGCUACGAAAGGGCACUCUAAUGAGACUGCCGGUGACAAAUCGGAGGAAGGUGGGGAUGGCGUCAAGUCCUCAUGGCCCUUAUGGGUAGGGCUUCACACGUCAUACAAUGGUACAUACAGAGGGCCGCCAACCCGCGAGGGGGAGCUAAUCCCAGAAAGUGUAUCGUAGUCCGGAUUGUAGUCUGCAACUCGACUGCAUGAAGUUGGAAUCGCUAGUAAUCGCGGAUCAGCACGCCGCGGUGAAUACGUUCCCGGGCCUU
This 362-nucleotide ribosomal RNA is filed under the name uncultured Oxalobacteraceae bacterium. RNAcentral's name for it is "bacterial SSU rRNA". It matches the Rfam family "Bacterial small subunit ribosomal RNA", at positions 1016 to 1382 of the family's 1533-position model. Lineage: Bacteria; Pseudomonadati; Pseudomonadota; Betaproteobacteria; Burkholderiales; Oxalobacteraceae. The record is from RNAcentral.